CAGUAGCCACGGUAAUACGUAGGGUGCAAGCGUUAAUCGGAAUUACUGGGCGUAAAGCGUGCGCAGGCGGUUAUAUAAGACAGAUGUGAAAUCCCCGGGCUCAACCUGGGAACUGCAUUUGUGACUGUAUAGCUAGAGUACGGCAGAGGGGGAUGGAAUUCCGCGUGUAGCAGUGAAAUGCGUAGAUAUGCGGAGGAACACCGAUGGCGAAGGCAAUCCCCUGGGCCUGUACUGACGCUCAUGCACGAAAGCGUGGGGAGCAAACAGGAUUAGAUACCCCAGUAGUCCCUGUCUUUAUACA
This 301-nucleotide ribosomal RNA is filed under the name uncultured bacterium. RNAcentral describes it as "partial 16S ribosomal RNA". It matches the Rfam family "Bacterial small subunit ribosomal RNA", at positions 509 to 809 of the family's 1533-position model. The record is from RNAcentral.